This 253-nucleotide ribosomal RNA is filed under the name uncultured bacterium. RNAcentral describes it as "partial 16S ribosomal RNA". It matches the Rfam family "Bacterial small subunit ribosomal RNA", at positions 524 to 776 of the family's 1533-position model. The record is from RNAcentral.
UACGUAGGGUGCAAGCGUUGUCCGGAAUUAUUGGGCGUAAAGAGCUCAUAGGCGGUUUGUCGCGUCUGCUGUGAAAUCCCGAGGCUCAACCUCGGGCCUGCAGUGGGUACGGGCAGACUAGAGUGCGGUAGGGGAGAUUGGAAUUCCUGGUGUAGCGGUGGAAUGCGCAGAUAUCAGGAGGAACACCGAUGGCGAAGGCAGAUCUCUGGGCCGUAACUGACGCUGAGGAGCGAAAGCGUGGGGAGCGAACAGG